RNAcentral lists this small RNA (78 nucleotides) under Arabidopsis thaliana (thale cress). Its description in RNAcentral is "ATSL145680". The record is from RNAcentral. Lineage: Eukaryota; Viridiplantae; Streptophyta; Magnoliopsida; Brassicales; Brassicaceae.
UAUCAUCACACACACCUCUCUCUCAUCUCUAUAUCUCUCUCUCUCUCUCUAAGAGACAGACAGACAUAGAUAUAUCUU